RNAcentral lists this ribosomal RNA (891 nucleotides) under uncultured bacterium. RNAcentral describes it as "bacterial SSU rRNA". It matches the Rfam family "Bacterial small subunit ribosomal RNA", at positions 8 to 916 of the family's 1533-position model. The record is from RNAcentral.
AGAGUUUGAUCCUGGCUCAGGACAAACGCUGGCGGCGUGCAUAAAACAUGCAAGUCGAACGGACUUCAGUCCGCAAGGAUUGAAGUGAGUGGCGAACGGCUGAGUAACACGUAGGUGACCUGCCCCGAAGUUUGGGAUAACAACUCGAAAGAGUUGCUAAUACCGGAUGUGACCACCGAUUCAUUUCGGUGCUUAAAGUCGUAAGACGCUUUGGGAGGGGCCUGCGGCGGAUUAGCUAGUUGGUGUGGUAACGGCAUACCAAGGCUUCGAUCCGUAGCUGGUCUGAGAGGAUGGCCAGCCAGACUGGGACUGAGACACGGCCCAGACUCCUACGGGAGGCAGCAGUUAGGAAUUUUGCGCAAUGGAGGAAACUCUGACGCAGCCACGCCGCGUGAGGGAUGAAGGCCUUCGGGUCGUAAACCUCUUUUCUCAGGGAAGACACCCGACGGUACCUGAGGAAUAAGCAACGGCUAACUACGUGCCAGCAGCCGCGGUAAUACGUAGGUUGCGAGCGUUGUCCGGAUUUACUGGGCGUAAAGCGCGCGCAGGUGGUCCUGAAAGUCGAGCGUGAAAGCUCCCGGCCCAACUGGGAGAGGCCGUUCGAAACUUCAGGACUUGAAGGCGGGAGAGGCAAAUGGAAUUUCCGGUGUAGCGGUAAAAUGCGUAGAUACCGGAAGGAACACCAGUGGCGAAAGCGAUUUGCUGGCCCGCCCUUGACACUCAGGCGCGAAAGCUAGGGGAGCGACCGGGAUUAGAUACCCCGUUAGUCCUAGCCGUAAACAAUGGGCACUAGGUGUUGUCGGUAUCGACCCCGGCAGUGCCGGAGCUAACGCGUUAAACGUGCCGCCUGGGGAGUACGGUCGCAAGAUUAAAACUCAAAGGAAUUGACGG